ACUUGAACUGUGAAAGGUUUUCAAAAUGUGGAAAAUUUUAUUAUUUCUGUUGUUGAUCUGUACAGUGGGACAAGAUUGCUUUGCACUAUAUUUAAAGAACAGUGAUUGUCCAAAUGGAUUAUUCUAUGUUCUUGGAAUGUGCAUUUCGGAAGACCAAUAUCGUGAAAUAUUUGAAAUUUGAAAAAUUAUGGAGGAGGAUCGUAGGGACGGCUUCGGAAGAAAAAAUAGAAUUUUUCGGGCGAAAAAUCGUAUUUUACUAGAACUUUAAAAUAAUACUAUAUCUAAUUAUAAUCUAACUUCAAGAAUGUUUACAAACAAAUUAAAUGUUUUUUU
This is a long non-coding RNA of Helicoverpa zea (corn earworm), 333 nucleotides long. RefSeq lists it as uncharacterized. The record is from RefSeq and is a predicted model, not a curated record. NCBI's taxonomy places the organism in Eukaryota, Metazoa, Arthropoda, Insecta, Lepidoptera, Noctuidae. The transcript has 2 exons.